AAGUUAUGAAAUCUACUCUGUGAAGAAAUUGUCCCCUGUGCAGAAAUUUAGCAAAGUAAUGCCAUGAUCUAAGCCUUAAGGACAAUCAAAGUCACUAAGGUCCCUGAAGAUGGCUACAAAU
This 121-nucleotide small nucleolar RNA is filed under the name Castor canadensis (American beaver). RNAcentral describes it as "Small nucleolar RNA SNORA33 (ENSCCNG00000014605.1)". Lineage: Eukaryota; Metazoa; Chordata; Mammalia; Rodentia; Castoridae. The record is from RNAcentral.